GCAAAGAGUGGCGAACGGGUGAGUAACACGUGGGAAACCUACCUCUUAGCAGGGGAUAACAUUUGGAAACAGAUGCUAAUACCGUAUAACAAUGACAACCGCAUGGUUGUUAUUUAAAAGAUGGUUCUGCUAUCACUAAGAGAUGGUCCCGCGGUGCAUUAGCUAGUUGGUAAGGUAAUGGCUUACCAAGGCGAUGAUGCAUAGCCGAGUUGAGAGACUGAUCGGCCACAAUGGGACUGAGACACGGCCCAUACUCCUACGGGAGGCAGCAGUAGGGAAUCUUCCACAAUGGGCGAAAGCCUGAUGGAGCAACGCCGCGUGUGUGAUGAAGGGUUUCGGCUCGUAAAACACUGUUGUAAGAGAAGAAUGACAUUGAGAGUAACUGUUCAAUGUGUGACGGUAUCUUACCAGAAAGGAACGGCUAAAUACGUGCCAGCAGCCGCGGUAAUACGUAUGUUCCAAGCGUUAUCCGGAUUUAUUGGGCGUAAAGCGAGCGCAGACGGUUAUUUAAGUCUGAAGUGAAAGCCCUCAGCUCAACUGAGGAAUUGCUUUGGAAACUGGAUGACUUGAGUGCAGUAGAGGAAAGUGGAACUCCAUGUGUAGCGGUGAAAUGCGUAGAUAUAUGGAAGAACACCAGUGGCGAAAGCGGCUUUCUGGACUGUAACUGACGUUGAGGCUCGAAAGUGUGGGUAGCAACAGGAUUAGAUACCCUGCUAGUCCACACCGUAACGAUGAGUGCUA
Molecule: ribosomal RNA, 741 nt
Filed under: Weissella confusa
Lineage: Bacteria; Bacillati; Bacillota; Bacilli; Lactobacillales; Lactobacillaceae
Description: bacterial SSU rRNA
Rfam family: Bacterial small subunit ribosomal RNA
Source: RNAcentral